CUAGCUCAGAACGAACGCUGGCGGCGCGUCUAAGCAUGCAAGUCGGACGGCAGGGCACCUUCGGGUGUCCGAGAGUGGCGAACGGGUGAGUAACACGUAAGUGAUCUGCCCUGCAGUUGGGGAUAGCCUGUGGAAACACAGGGUAAUACCGGAUGAGAUGUCAAUGAUUGAACUAUGGCAUGAAAGUGGCUACGGCCACGCUGCAGGAUGAGCUUGCGGCUCAUUAGCUAGUUGGGGGUGUAACGGACCACCAAGGCGACGAUGAGUAGCCGGCCUGAGAGGGUGAACGGCCACAUUGGAACUGAGAGACGGUCCAGACUCCUACGGGAGGCAGCAGUGGGGAAUAUUGGGCAAUGGGCGAAAGCCUGACCCAAGCGACGCCGCGUGAGGGAAGAAGGUCUUCGGAUUGUAAACCUCUUUCAGCAAGGAAGAAGAAAGUGACGGUACUUGCAGAAGAAGCCACGGCUAACUACGUGCCAGCAGCCGC
Molecule: ribosomal RNA, 487 nt
Filed under: uncultured bacterium
Lineage: Bacteria
Description: bacterial SSU rRNA
Rfam family: Bacterial small subunit ribosomal RNA
Source: RNAcentral